AGUUGAUGAAUAGGCUUAACCGCAAGGUUAAGGAGGAAAGGAGUCGAAAGAGAACACACGAGAAAGAGAGGGUAUAGGAAGAUGCACAGAUUCAAAGCCUUAAUUCUCAGGCGCUCUGUUCGCAUUCCUAACUUUCUUCCCCAUUACAGAAACCUCUGCUCUCAAUCUAGCGCCGUCGUUGAUAAUGAUUCUACUGAAAACCAAGUACUAGUAGAAGGCAAAGCUAGUUCAAGAACAGCUAUUCUCAACAGACCCUCCGCUCUUAAUGCUCUCAAUACUUCAAUGGGGGCUCGCUUGAAGAAACUGUAUGAAUCCUGGGAAGAAAAUUCUGAUAUUGGGUUCGUUGUAAUGAAGGGUAGUGGCAGGGCGUUUAGCGCUGGUGGAGAUAUUGCUACUCUCUAUCGUUUAAUAAAUGAAGGGAAGAUGGCUGAAUGUAAAGAAUUUUUUGGGACGUUAUAUAGUUUUAUAUACCUUCUAGGAACAUAUCUAAAGCCACAUGUGGCAAUUUUGAAUGGUAUUACCAUGGGGGGCGGAGCAGGGGUUUCAAUCCCUGGUACAUUCCGUGUUGCAACUGAUAAAACUGUUUUUGCUACCCCAGAAACUCAAAUUGGUUUUCAUCCAGAUGCUGGGGCAUCCUUUUACCUUUCCCAUUUACCUGGUUAUUUAGGAGAAUACCUGGCUUUAACAGGAGAGAGGUUCAAUGGACCAGAAAUGAUUGCUUGUGGGCUUGCUACACACUAUUCACUCAGUGCAAGGCUACCUUUGCUCGAAGAGAGACUUGGUACAUUGGUAACAGAUGAUCCUUCUGUUAUAGAAGCUUCUCUAGAGCAAUAUGGUGACCUUGCCUAUCCAGAUAAGAGGAGUGUUAUUCACAGUAUUGAAACAGUUGACAAGUGCUUUGCCCAUGACACUGUUGAGGAAAUUAUUGGUGCUCUUGAAAAUGAGGCAACCAGAUCAUAUGAUGAGUGGUGUACUUCAACUCUAAGGAAAUUAAAAGAAGCCUCACCUUUGAGCUUGAAGGUUUCCCUAAGAUCUAUACGAGAAGGUAGGUUUCAGACUCUUGAUCAAUGCUUAGUCCGUGAGUAUCGGAUGUCUCUUCAAGGGAUCUCUAAACAGAUUUCCAGUGACUUCUGUGAGGGGGUUCGUGCACAAUUGGUGGAUAAGGACUUUGCCCCAAAGUGGGAUCCUCCAUGUUUGGAAAAAGUAACCAAGGACAUGGUAGACAACUACUUUUCACCACUUAGUGAACUCGAGCCUGACCUAGAGCUACCCAUAAAACUGCGAGAAGCGUUUACGUGAUUGGAGGUAUGCUAAAGAUAUAUGUACUGGGGUGGGGCAUAGCCCAGAAGAGGAAGAUGCAAAUGUAUUUUGCAGAUGCAGAUUUAUGGCGGUCUUCUUUCUUUGGGAGGAAUAAAUUGGUAUAACCUAUUAUUGGGUCUGGUGAAGAGAAGUUGAUUAUUCUUUGUAACACUUGCAUUACAUUUUAUUUUUGGCUUUGGUAAAGUACUGAUGAAUUCAUACAUCUAUACAUGUAUCUUUCACUUGUGAUAAAUUAUGAUGAUCAAGGAGAAAAUACACCAAAAGGAAAGGGUUGUUUUGUUGAACGUGGCAAUUGUUUUUGUUUUGGAAAACAAAGUGGCCAAGAGUUGUGAAAAAUUCUCUUAUCCAUACUUUAAUACCAUAUUCAAUCUCCAUUGCCAAUGACAACUUCUAGCAAGGAGUAUGGAUUCAUUAUUGAAGCUGAAGCAGCAAAACAUGGUGAUGGUGUUGAUUGUUGAAGCACCAUUAUUGGUUGGGGCGUCAGAUCUCUGCUUGCAAGGUUGUUCUAUUGGUUCGACAAAUGAGUUCAGUGCAAAAUGGAGUUGUCUCAGUUAAAACCGAUUGACGAAGAUAAGAGUGUUGUGUUUCGUAUAUCUUGGGGAAGGCAGGCAAAUGUAUCUUGUAAAAGCAAAGUUACUGCAAGUUCAUA
Molecule: RNA transcript, 1969 nt
Organism: Nelumbo nucifera (sacred lotus)
Lineage: Eukaryota; Viridiplantae; Streptophyta; Magnoliopsida; Proteales; Nelumbonaceae
Gene name: 3-hydroxyisobutyryl-CoA hydrolase-like protein 1, mitochondrial
Source: RefSeq, a predicted model, not a curated record